This is a small nuclear RNA of Otolemur garnettii (small-eared galago), 125 nucleotides long. Lineage: Eukaryota; Metazoa; Chordata; Mammalia; Primates; Galagidae. The record is from Ensembl.
AACCUCCUUUUCUUGGGGUUGUGCAACUGCCCAAUGAGUGCCUAGUGAGGGCAGUACUACUAAUGCUACACUACACACCUUUGUCAACUAGAGCUUUGCUUUAACUUGGUGCAAUUUUUGGAAAA